This 285-nucleotide unclassified non-coding RNA is filed under the name plant metagenome. Its description in RNAcentral is "partial contains small subunit ribosomal RNA and internal transcribed spacer 1". The stretch from base 1 to 54 matches the Rfam family "Eukaryotic small subunit ribosomal RNA", at positions 1778 to 1831 of the family's 1831-position model. The record is from RNAcentral.
GGAAGUAAAAGUCGUAAUAAGGUUUCCGUAGGUGAACCUGCGGAAGGAUCAUUAUUGUAUAACCGAGGUGCGAGGGCUGUCGCUGACCCGAAAGGUCGUGCACGCCCGAGUGCCCUCACACACAUCCACCUCACCCCUAUGUGCACCACCGCGUGGGUCCCCCUUUGGCUUGUUCGGAGGGGGGCUUACGUUUUCACACAAACUUUGUAUGCAGUGUAGAAUGUAUUUUUUGUUUUUGCGAUCACGCAAUCAAUACAACUUCCAACAACGGAUCUCUUGGCUCUC